CCUACGGGGGGCAGCAGUCGAGAAUCAUUCACAAUGGGGGAAACCCUGAUGGUGCGACGCCGCGUGGGGGAAUGAAGGUCUUCGGAUUGUAAACCCCUGUCAUGUGGGAGCAAAUUAAAAAGAUAGUACCACAAGAGGAAGAGACGGCUAACUCUGUGCCAGCAGCCGCGGUAAUACAGAGGUCUCAAGCGUUGUUCGGAAUCACUGGGCGUAAAGCGUGCGUAGGCUGUUUCGUAAGUCGUGUGUGAAAGGCGCGGGCUCAACCCGCGGACGGCACAUGAUACUGCGAGACUAGAGUAAGGGAGGGGGAACCGGAAUUCUCGGUUUAGCAGUGAAAUGCGUAGAUAUCGAGAGGAACACUCGUGGCGAAGGCGGGUUCCUGGACAUUAACUGACGCUGAGGCACGAAGGCCAGGGGAGCGAAAGGGAUUAGAUACCCCAGUAGUC
Molecule: ribosomal RNA, 446 nt
Filed under: uncultured bacterium
Lineage: Bacteria
Description: partial 16S ribosomal RNA
Rfam family: Bacterial small subunit ribosomal RNA
Source: RNAcentral